This 79-nucleotide transfer RNA is filed under the name Candidatus Bathyarchaeota archaeon. RNAcentral's name for it is "tRNA-Arg". It matches the Rfam family "tRNA". Rfam says of the family: Transfer RNA (tRNA) molecules are approximately 80 nucleotides in length. Their secondary structure includes four short double-helical elements and three loops (D, anti-codon, and T loops). The record is from RNAcentral. Lineage: Archaea; Thermoproteati; Candidatus Bathyarchaeota.
GGGCCCGUGGCCAAGUCUGGAUUAAGGCGCCGGCCUUCGGAGCCGGAGAGCGUGGGUUCAAAUCCCACCGGGCCCGCCA